AGAGUUUGAUCAUGGCUCAGAACGAACGCUGGCGGCAGGCCUAACACAUGCAAGUCGAAGGAGAAGCCGGACUUCGGUCCGGUGGAAACUGGCGCACGGGUGAGUAACGCGUGGGUAUCUACCUUGGGGUGGGGAAUAACCGCUGGAAACGGCGGCUAAUACCGCAUACGCCUUUAGAGGGAAAGCUCCGGCGCCCUAAGAGGAGCCCGCGUUGGAUUAGCUUGUUGGUGGGGUAAAGGCCUACCAAGGCUACGAUCUAUAGCUGGUCUGAGAGGAUGAUCAGCCACACUGGGACUGAGAUACGGCCCAGACUCCUACGGGAGGCAGCAGUGGGGAAUAUUGGACAAUGGGCGCAAGCCUGAUCCAGCCAUGCCGCGUGAGUGAAGAAGGCCUUAGGGUUGUAAAGCUCUUUCACCUGCGAAGAUGAUGACGGUAGCAGGAAGAAGAAGCCCCGGCUAACUCCCGUGCCAGCAGCCGCGGUAAUACGGAGGGGGCUAGCGUUGUUCGGAUUUACUGGGCGUAAAGGGCGCGUAGGCGGUAUGUCAUGUCAGGGGUGAAAGGCCUGGGCUCAACCCAGGAACUGCCUUUGAAACUGGCAAACUAGAGUCCGAUAGAGGAUGGCGGAAUUCCCAGUGUAGAGGUGAAAUUCGUAGAUAUUGGGAAGAACACCAGUGGCGAAGGCGGCCAUCUGGAUCGGCACUGACGCUGAGGCGCGAAAGCGUGGGGAGCAAACAGGAUUAGAUACCCUGGUAGUCCACGCCGUAAACGAUGUGUGCUAGACGUUGGGGGCCUUAGGCCCUGAGUGUCGCAGCUAACGCGUUAAGCACACCGCCUGGGGAGUACGGCCGCAAGGUUAAAACUCAAAGGAAUUGACGGG
RNAcentral lists this ribosomal RNA (877 nucleotides) under uncultured bacterium. RNAcentral's name for it is "bacterial SSU rRNA". It matches the Rfam family "Bacterial small subunit ribosomal RNA", at positions 8 to 917 of the family's 1533-position model. The record is from RNAcentral.